UACGAAGGGGGCUAGCGUUGCUCGGAAUCACUGGGCGUAAAGCGCACGUAGGCGGAUUGUUAAGUCAGGGGUGAAAUCCUGGAGCUCAACUCCAGAACUGCCUUUGAUGCUGGCGAUCUUGAGUCCGGGAGAGGUGAGUGGAACUGCGAGUGUAGAGGUGAAAUUCGUAGAUAUUCGCAAGAACACCAGUGGCGAAGGCGGCUUACUGGUCCGGUUCUGACGCUGAGGCGCGAAAGCGUGGGGAGCAAACAGG
Molecule: ribosomal RNA, 253 nt
Filed under: uncultured bacterium
Lineage: Bacteria
Description: partial 16S ribosomal RNA
Rfam family: Bacterial small subunit ribosomal RNA
Source: RNAcentral